GUUUUCCAAGGACUACUUUGGUGUCCUCAUUUGCCUCUGAGAAAAAUGCCUGCCUGAACUUUACAGGUCUCUUUUGGAGGUCAACAGAGAUUAUAAAAAAUUAAGGCACUUUGAGAAAUUCACCCAGUACAAAUGUAGUUUAACAAGUGUCACUCUAUAAUGAAAAAUCUUCCUUCAGGCUCCCUUCUUACACCAUGCCUGGGAGGAAGAAUCAUUCCCUUACUUAUGGGAGAACUUCUCAUGGUGUAAACAUUCAUUCUAGAGAGCAUUUCCCCAUCAAGCUACAGGCUGAUGCUCUGAACUGGUGCUCCCUGCAAAGCAAUUUGAUAAGAUUAAGUAUCCCCAUCCUCCAUGUUUUUCUCCCUCCUCCACUUUCCUUUUCUGAAAAGGACUGUGUGAAACCACAGGGAAAUGAUACAUUUGCACGCUAUUCAGAAAACAGCUUGGCUGUCUGGGCUUGGCAGUGGAUAAGCCCCUAUUUUAGGCUCUCUUCAACUCACCAUGCUCUGCCUAGAGGAGGCUGAAAUCAUCCUUUGCCUCCACCUCCACAUUGUAAGUUGAAUGUCAGCCACAAUCCCUGGCCACAGCACUAUCUACCAAGUAGACAUCAGCCCUACAGCAUCCAAAUCAUCUGCCAAGUCAUAUCCCAGGGGAUCGGAGGCAUGGAGUCGCAUUCAUCCUGGGGACUCGAGUUUGGCAAUGGCAAACUCAUCACUAAAUGAAAAGCUAGCCAAUUCUUGAGCUUCUGUCUUCUUUCUGAGUUUCCCUAAGUCCAAAAUUCCCUUUCAAUAAAAAGGGGAAAGUUGGGUUCUUGGCCCACAUGUAUCCUCAAUACAUUGCCAAAUCAUUCUAGCUUUCGAAUGAGUUACCUGAUGCUUACAAAAUAUGAAAUCUUUCUGAGCCUUCUCAAAUCAAAAUGGAAAGAAAAAUACUUCAGAUUGAAGAUUUCAAAUGCGAGAUCUGAAUAAUGACUCAGUUCUUUCCUUCCAUAAGCAAACUGC
This 1001-nucleotide long non-coding RNA is filed under the name Homo sapiens (human). RNAcentral's name for it is "long non-coding RNA NONHSAT170056". The record is from RNAcentral. Lineage: Eukaryota; Metazoa; Chordata; Mammalia; Primates; Hominidae.